RNAcentral lists this ribosomal RNA (560 nucleotides) under Palmaria palmata (dulse). RNAcentral's name for it is "eukaryotic LSU rRNA". It matches the Rfam family "Eukaryotic large subunit ribosomal RNA", at positions 364 to 1006 of the family's 3401-position model. The record is from RNAcentral. RNAcentral also lists the same sequence under 1 other name. Lineage: Eukaryota; Rhodophyta; Florideophyceae; Palmariales; Palmariaceae.
AUGGAAAGAACUUUGAAAAGAGAGUGAAAAGCACUUGAAACCGUCACGGGGGAAGCGGAUUGCGUGAGUGAUGGUGUCGCUUGUUCAGCGCUUUAUUGCGUGCAUUCUGGCGGCGCCGUGCCGGCGUGGCUGGCUGGACUGUGAUUUUGACAGUCUCGGCUGGUGAGGGCUCCCUCGUAUGAGGUGAGGACGCGGGCAAAAUGACGCAAUACGACCCGUCUUGAAACACGGACCAAGGAGUCUAGCACGGCUGCGAGUCGAAGAGUGAUUAAACUCAAGGGCGCAGUGAAAGCGAAAUUAUAAGCAAAUUGGGGAGGCGUUGCGUUUUUAACAAAAUGUCCUACCUCGAGCAUUUGUGCUGGGACCCGAAAGAUGGUGAACUAUGCCGGAGUAGGGCAAAGCCAGAGGAAACUCUGGUGGAGGCUCGUAGCGAUGCUGACGUGCAAAUCGCUCGUCGAACUUGGGUAUAGGGGCGAAAGACUAAUCGAACCAUCUAGUAGCUGGUUCCCUCCGAAGUUUCUCUCAGGAUAGCGGGCCGACACGCGUUUGUUGUUUUGUGC